UACGUAGGCAGCAAGCGUUGUUCGGAGUUACUGGGCGUAAAGGGUGUGUAGGCGGUCCCUUAAGUUUGUUGUGAAAUCUCCCGGCUCAACUGGGAGGGUGCGGCGAAUACUGAGGGGCUAGAGUGCGGGAGAGGAAAGUGGAAUUCCUGGUGUAGCGGUGAAAUGCGUAGAUAUCAGGAGGAACACCGGUGGUGUAAACGGCUUUCUGGACCGUAACUGACGCUGAGACACGAAAGCGUGGGUAGCAAACAGG
RNAcentral lists this ribosomal RNA (253 nucleotides) under uncultured Acidobacteriota bacterium. RNAcentral describes it as "uncultured Acidobacteria bacterium partial 16S ribosomal RNA". It matches the Rfam family "Bacterial small subunit ribosomal RNA", at positions 524 to 776 of the family's 1533-position model. The record is from RNAcentral. Lineage: Bacteria; Pseudomonadati; Acidobacteriota.